Molecule: transfer RNA, 53 nt
Filed under: Sphaerirostris picae
Lineage: Eukaryota; Metazoa; Acanthocephala; Palaeacanthocephala; Polymorphida; Centrorhynchidae
Description: tRNA-Pro
Source: RNAcentral
GUAAGGAAGUUUUGGUGAAUGCAGGCUUUGGGGGCUUGAGGGGUAGUUGCGAG